CUUGUCCAAAGGAAGAGACGUGGACUCGGAAAACCAGAGCCGGGUUCGGAGUCGGCGGGAGGAAGCCCCGCCCUGCGCCUCCCGCCGAACUUUUCGGCCCCGGCGCUGACUCAGUCCCGGGAGAGCCCCAGCGCCGCGGUCCGCCCGGACGCCCCAGCGCGAAGAUGCUCCACUCUGAGGACUGAAAAAUCCAAGCCUUCUGAUAUGCACAGAAUGAUCUAGGCUCCCCUGUCAGGAUCUUGCUAUGCAGUUCAGGUUGGCCUUGAACUCACUAUGUAGUCCAGGCUGGUCUUGAACUAACGGUGAUCCUCCUGCCUCAGCCUCCCAAAUCCUGGGAUAUCUAGACUGAAAAUGUGACCGCUGUAAGUAGGAUUUGAACCUGUGCAGGGAUUUCAAGUCCAGUACCUCAACCACUCUGCCAUCACAGCUGCAAUUCAUUUCUUAUGAUAACAGUAACAUCUUUCUAGCGUAAUUAAGGGAUUAUAUAAGAAUAUGUAGACUCUGAGCCACAGAAACACAAUAGAAGGAAAAAAUGUGUUAUUUGAAUAUGAAAGAACAAAACUUAGAACAUUAAAAGGCUGGUAUGGGAAUGAGGAUCUAGACACAGGCCCCCCACCACUGCUAUAGGUAGUUCUAUUUUAAUACUCAUAA
Molecule: non-coding RNA, 651 nt
Organism: Heterocephalus glaber (naked mole-rat)
Lineage: Eukaryota; Metazoa; Chordata; Mammalia; Rodentia; Bathyergidae
Source: RefSeq, a predicted model, not a curated record